CCGACCACUUCUGGCUGAUGAUGAUGUUGGUUAUGUACCUACAGAAAGGCGGUGUCUAAUCCGUGCGGUAGGAUUUGCCCCGGGGCAACGUCCAACGUGCGGGUUUGGCUGGGAAAACGCACCCCCCGGACGGCAGCCCAGUUUUCACCACGGGCAAUAGCUCGUACAAGAAAUCUAACUAGCCAGGCGGAUAGAGCGCUAUCGAAUUGUGGGGGGUAGGUCGGGUCAGCAUCCUUGUACGAGUUAUUGCUCACAGUGAAAAGGCCCGCGGAAGAAGGGACUCCCCUAGACCCCAUCCAGCCGCCUGGUGGUACCCGCGUGGCGAUGUUGCCCGUGGGCCGCCGCCGCCGCCGCCGCCGCCGAGGCGUAUGAAGCCGCAACCGUGCUGCUGCAAUGCGCCUGAACCUCGCCCCCAGCCCCCACCAUAGCUGACGUCGCAUAGCAAGUGCAGUGCACGCACAGGCAACAGCAGGAAGCACAGCACCAGCGCCAGCCAGGGCGUGUCAGCAUCCAGAUUUGUACCCACCCCAACACACGCACUACCUUGGAUUUCCGCCCCCCCCUGCGCGCGCAGCGCACACUUGUGCCGUCUCCUGCCUCGUCACGCCUACCAGUUCAGCACGCUGUAACUUGCCCCGCUUGAAUGCUCUGGUGCACGUCUGUCAAUCCAGUGAUCGCUAUCCAACACCUUGCGCUCACAGCCAGCCUCGGCUACACGCCCCUAGCGCUGAAGCCUCACCUCCGCACUUCCCCUCAAGCGGAAAGUCCGCACAAAGGGCGAGCCAUCGCGCUGCGGAGCGGGGAGGUUUCAGAAAGCGGCGGUUGACGAAAACUUGGGCAACACGUGUUCCCCGCUCCCGCCGACUGCACACAGGCAUUAUUUAAGCCAUCUGUUACACGAAGCUGUUGUACACCAGGAAGUAAGAAGAGGCCCCAGCGACGAAGUUCAGAUACCCGGCUCGAGUCCAGGGAACCCGACCGCGAAAGUAACUGAUGCUGAACCAGAUAAAAUGCGCUCAAGCGCAUAGAAUGGAGUCCGAUGCCGCAAGGAAGCCAAUGUUGAGGCCGAUUUAUCGCACAGGCAGGCGCUGUGCCGAUUGAUUCAUCAGAUACAUAAAUAGCUCCAAAUUAAGCACUUGUGAAUCUUUCAGAAGCCUCGUAGGCGUGUAAGCUGCGAGCGCGAUCAUCUGUCCUUAAUACAGCCGCGCUGGCAGCCCCAUAUAGUGAUACCAAUGAAGCUUAGACUCCGUAAUCAAAAUACUUGCAAAACGUGCAGGUGAACGGUUUCGCCGCAAGGUCGAACUUUCUGCCCUCGGUUUCGGCCUCGGCGACGAUCGAGACUGUUAAACCCAGGUGAUUUCAUCAACAAAGCAUGUUAAGUGAUCGGUUUUGCGCAGCUUAGGACCGGUCCGGGAGGUUGUGCACGCGCAACGGCUGCAAUGUUGUGCGGUCCCGCCCAUUUCGCGACUCUGGCUCUUGCCCUUAACGUCUACUUCAUUCCCAGCCCUUCUUCACCUCAGCUCAACAUCCCUGCCUGCAUAUGCGAGCCCACUCUCUCAGCCUAUUACCGCUGUACGUUGCGUCCCUUGUCCCUUGACAGUUGACACCCUUAGGGGCACGCCCCAUGGAUCGCAUGGCGGUCCGCUAGUGACCGUGAAGGUCGGCCACCAGUGCCGGGCGUGCGGGUCGUUGUCGGCCGGUUCGGAUACAUCGGCGGGUUGGCUCGCCCCCCAAAGGGGGGCGACAGCCUUAGUC
This 1755-nucleotide long non-coding RNA is filed under the name Chlamydomonas reinhardtii. RNAcentral's name for it is "long non-coding RNA (CREI_LNC000222)". Lineage: Eukaryota; Viridiplantae; Chlorophyta; Chlorophyceae; Chlamydomonadales; Chlamydomonadaceae. The record is from RNAcentral.